This 253-nucleotide ribosomal RNA is filed under the name uncultured bacterium. Its description in RNAcentral is "partial 16S ribosomal RNA". It matches the Rfam family "Bacterial small subunit ribosomal RNA", at positions 524 to 776 of the family's 1533-position model. The record is from RNAcentral.
UACGGGGGUGGCGAGCGUUACUCGGAUUCAUUGGGUGUAAAGGACAGGUAGGUGGCUAUGUAAGUUGGAGGUGAAAUCCUGCGGCUCAACCGCAGAACUGCCUUCAAGACCGCAUAGCUUGAGGCUAGAAGAGGAGAGCGGAAUUCCCGGUGUAAGGGUGAAAUCUGUAGAUAUCGGGAGGAACACCAGUGGCGAAAGCGGCUCUCUGGUCUGGUCCUGACACUGAUCUGUGAAAGCUAGGGGAGCAAACAGG